This 253-nucleotide ribosomal RNA is filed under the name uncultured bacterium. Its description in RNAcentral is "partial 16S ribosomal RNA". It matches the Rfam family "Bacterial small subunit ribosomal RNA", at positions 524 to 776 of the family's 1533-position model. The record is from RNAcentral.
UACAGAGGUCUCAAGCGUUGUUCGGAUUCAUUGGGCGUAAAGGGUGCGUAGGUGGUGAUGCAAGUCUGGUGUGAAAUCUCGGAGCUCAACUCCGAAAUUGCACCGGAUACUGCGUGACUCGAGGACUGUAGAGGAGAUCGGAAUUCACGGUGUAGCAGUGAAAUGUGUAGAGAUCGGGAGGAACACCGGUGGCGAAGGCGGGUCUCUGGGCAACUCCUGACGCUGAGGCGCGAAAGCGUGGGGAGCAAACGGG